Long non-coding RNA from Cyprinus carpio carpio, 1328 nucleotides. NCBI's taxonomy places the organism in Eukaryota, Metazoa, Chordata, Actinopteri, Cypriniformes, Cyprinidae. The record is from Ensembl.
GUAGAAUGGUGGUCUGUGACGAAUGGUGCAGGUGUUGCUCAUUUCCAAUUACUCCACCGGCCUCGACCUGUUCCCACGGCUUUCGGCCCCGUCCCACUCAUCACAUGGUCAUUUUUAUAUUGGACAUUCCUUCUAAACACAAACUCUCAUGCCCCAAUUUUGGAAUAUAGGUCUUGAAAGAGGUUAAUCAGAAUGGAAGGGUAAAAGUAUUUAGCUUGCAGUCCAUAAAGUAGGGACUCGAGCACUUUAAACUAAAGAUACCCCUUGGACUACUUCAAGUUAAAACUUGGCAGAUUUGGGUGGUGCAAGGGUGUGAAAGAAUUGUCACAGGAGUGAGGGACCCAAGCAGCACCCCGUGGACCCUGCAUUACACUUGAGUUACACAGCUACACAAGUCCUGAAAAGACUUCCCUUAUUUUUUGAUACUGUAGUCUGGUAUGAUUCUACUCUUCUGUGAGCUUUUUUGAUGAAACACCAUCUAAACAGAACCUAAACACAGAACCCUGUGUCAGAUGGUGUGUGAAUUUUAAUGAAACGUCUCAAAAUACUAUGGUGGAUUUAAUUUAAAUGUAGUUUCCCCCACUUUUUUGCAAAAAAACAUUUUUCACAAGCUGUGUAAGUAGUAUAUAAUUCAUAAUUUUGUUUAUUGUUUCUAUUUCUAAAAUUACUUGGAUUAUUUGCAUUGUGUUUAAAGUGGUUUGAAUUGUUCACACAAAUAUGUAUUUUCACAUCUCACAAUCAGAACUAAUGAUGUUAUAGAUCAGAGCAAAGACAUGCCUCCCACUAGGCCAGGAAAUCUCAUUGAUGUGUUCACGGGGAGUACUAAAAAAAGUGCCCUCCAAAAAAAUCGAAUCAACAGCUUCCUAGCCAACUGGAAAUGAAUAGAGAAGAAGACUUAUGGGACUUGUGAUUGUUAUGAGCAUUUGUUUGAGUCUUGAUCUUGUGUUCUCACUGAUAAACCGCCAUCUGCCACAAAGUGAGAGACAGAGGGAGAGAGCGAGUGAGUGCAAAAGAUCAGAGAGAGAGAGGGAGGUAGCUUAUCCAGUCCCUAGGGGGACUUCUCAAACCAAUUCUCACCUCCUGAGGAGCAGAUGGGGGAGGAAGAGGGACAGUUUUGGAUGAACUGGAACACACUGAUGUCUAGGAGGAGCUGCUGAAGACACUGCAGAGGAUAAUUGGAAACCACGAAUAAUAUUCUGUGAUAUUUGAUCUAUUUAAGGAGAAGCUAAUGAAAAAGAGAGAAUGUGCUCUCUGUAAAAAUAUGUGGUGUGUGUGUGUGUUUUAAUUGUCUGGUAGGUGAGAGUAAAUGGGUCAUGAAAUUCUGUGUG